Molecule: ribosomal RNA, 807 nt
Filed under: Triticum aestivum (bread wheat)
Lineage: Eukaryota; Viridiplantae; Streptophyta; Magnoliopsida; Poales; Poaceae
Description: partial small subunit ribosomal RNA
Source: RNAcentral
AUGGCCGACUCCUCCGCGCCGCACUCCAACGGCGGCGCCGUCGCCGUCGCCGAUGCCGAGGCGGUGCCCCGCUCCCUGGCGCCGCCGCGGAGGGUGGCGCUGGUGACGGGCAUCACGGGGCAGGACGGGAGCUACCUGACGGAGCUGCUCCUGUCCAAGGGAUACGAGGUGCACGGCCUCAUCCGCCGCUCCUCCAACUUCAACACGCAGCGCCUCGACCACAUCUACCACGACCCGCACGCGACCCCCUCCGCCGCGCUGCGCCCGCCGAUGCGCCUCCACUACGCCGACCUCUCCGACUCCUCCUCGCUCCGCCGCGCGCUCGACCACGUGCUCCCCGACGAGGUCUACAACCUGGCCGCGCAGUCCCACGUCGCCGUCUCCUUCGAGAUCCCCGACUACACCGCCGACGUCACGGCCACGGGCGCGCUCCGCCUGCUCGAGGCCGUCCGCCUCUCCGCCAAGACCAAGCCCAUGCGCUACUACCAGGCCGGGUCCUCGGAGAUGUUCGGGUCCACGCCGCCGCCGCAGAGCGAGGCCACGCCCUUCCACCCGCGGUCACCCUACGCGGCCGCCAAGGUCGCCGCGCACUGGUACACCGUCAACUACCGCGAGGCGUACGGCCUCUUCGCCUGCAACGGCGUGCUCUUCAACCACGAGUCCCCCCGGCGCGGCGAGAACUUCGUCACCCGCAAGAUCACCCGCGCCAUCGGCCGCAUCAAGGUCGGGCUCCAGACCAAGGUCUUCCUCGGCAACCUCUCCGCCGCCAGGGAUUGGGGCUUCCCCCCGCUGGACCCUGUUAUCUAA